Molecule: ribosomal RNA, 468 nt
Filed under: uncultured bacterium
Lineage: Bacteria
Description: partial 16S ribosomal RNA
Rfam family: Bacterial small subunit ribosomal RNA
Source: RNAcentral
GACGAACGCUGGCGGCGUGCUUAACACAUGCAAGUCGAACGGAAAGGCCCUGCUUUUGUGGGGUGCUCGAGUGGCGAACGGGUGAGUAACACGUGAGUAACCUGCCCUUGACUUUGGGAUAACUUCAGGAAACUGGGGCUAAUACCGGAUAGGAGCUCCUGCUGCAUGGUGGGGGUUGGAAAGUUUCGGCGGUUGGGGAUGGACUCGCGGCUUAUCAGCUUGUUGGUGGGGUAGUGGCUUACCAAGGCUUUGACGGGUAGCCGGCCUGAGAGGGUGACCGGCGAGAUUGGGACUGAGGGACGGCCCAGACGCCUACGGGAGGCAGCAGUGGGGAAUAUGGCACAAUGGGCGGAAGCUGGAGGGAGCAACGCGGGGGGCGGGAGGACGGGCGUGGGGUGGGAAACCGCUGGCGCGUGUGACGAAGCGGGAGUGACGGUAAUGGGUAAAGAAGCACCGGCUAACUACGUG